ACCUGGCUGGCUUGGUAGGAAGAGCAUGUGACUCUUGAUCCCAGGGUCGUGAGUUCCAGCCCCAUGUUGGGUG
Molecule: transfer RNA, 73 nt
Filed under: Ailuropoda melanoleuca (giant panda)
Lineage: Eukaryota; Metazoa; Chordata; Mammalia; Carnivora; Ursidae
Rfam family: tRNA
About the family: Transfer RNA (tRNA) molecules are approximately 80 nucleotides in length. Their secondary structure includes four short double-helical elements and three loops (D, anti-codon, and T loops). Further hydrogen bonds mediate the characteristic L-shaped molecular structure. tRNAs have two regions of fundamental functional importance: the anti-codon, which is responsible for specific mRNA codon recognition, and the 3' end, to which the tRNAs corresponding amino acid is attached (by aminoacyl-tRNA synthetases). tRNAs cope with the degeneracy of the genetic code in two manners: having more than one tRNA (with a specific anti-codon) for a particular amino acid; and 'wobble' base-pairing, i.e. permitting non-standard base-pairing at the 3rd anti-codon position.
Source: Rfam by way of RNAcentral